This is a non-coding RNA of Chelonia mydas (Green sea turtle), 2211 nucleotides long. NCBI's taxonomy places the organism in Eukaryota, Metazoa, Chordata, Testudines, Cheloniidae. The record is from the annotation of a RefSeq genome assembly.
CAUGUCCCAUCAUGCACUGCUUUGUGUCCCAGCCCUCCAAGGGUUUCCAGCUUCCUUUUGCACCAUUUUCCCAAGUGUCAGUCUUUGUAGUGUGCACCAGCAUCUGCAGGGAGAGAGGACGGAUCCCGCACUUCUCUCCUAUGCGCUGUUAGCUGUCGUGAGGACACUGUACAUGGCAGCAAAGUUACUGACGGAGGAUGAAUCGCAGGCCCCCCAGUGUGAUAUGGACAGCAGCGACUUACCAGUGGCAUUCACAGAGCAGCUGCAUACCGUAGACCGUCACUUCUGGGCUAGGGAAACAAGCACUGAUUGGUGGGAUCCUAGCGAAAGGGUUCAACGCUACGCAGGAUGAAAAGAGAAAAACCUUCCCCAUGUGGAAACGGUCCAGCGAACUGAGCGAUUCCGGGACCUAUUACUGCAUUGCGAGGGAUCACAGAGACCCCAAGCAGCGACGGAGCUGAGCAAAAACUGAGCAGGUGCGGGCUCAGGGCUGGGAGCCACAUGGGAACUAAAGGGUUCCCAUUAAUAAAUUCUCUCUCUCCCUCCGGCCCCGAGCCUGGGGCCGGAUUCUCUCUCAUUUCUGCACGCCAAACUCUUUUGAACUCAAAACUUGCCAUGAAUGUCUUGAAACAGAAUUUAAGCUAAACUCUGAAAAGGCACGAACACGAGAGAGCUUCUAUUAAACAAACAAGGAAACAUAUACAUAUAUAUGUCUCCCCAACACAAAACAGAAGUACCCAGGUGCCUGACACCCUUUGAAAUCAAUGAGAUGUAGACACCUGUUUGCUUUGGGGAAGUCCCACUAGGUGCCUAAAUAUCUUUAAGAUCUGCCCCCCAAAGCCGUGGCUCUCCCCCGCUCCAGGCUACUUGAACCCUUCCAGGAGCCUGAUUUGCUUCGCCUACCCUCAAGUUUCACCUCACUUAAAAUCUGCUUGCUUACAAAAAUCAGACCUAAAAACACAAACGUGUCACAGAACAGUGUUACCGAAAAAUGGCUGACUUUCUCAUUGUUACCAUAUAAUGAUAAAAUAAAUUAAUUGGGAUAUGAAUAUUGUACUGACAUUUCCGUGUAUCAGGAGCAGUAUAAACAAGUUGUUGUCUGUAUGAAUUUUUAGUUUGUACUGAAUUCUCUAGUGCUUCUUAUGUAGCCUGUUGUAAAACUAUGGAAGGAUCAGAUGAGUUGAUGUACCCCCUGGGAGAUCUCUGCCUUCCCUGGUCGUGAACCACCGAAGUAAGUUAUCAGCACGUGACUUACUACAUUUUUUUUCCAACCAGUGUCUAUCCAUAGCCCCCAGGUGGAGAUGUUUUCCCUGAAUAUAUAAUACAGUCUCGACAGAGUAUUUGCAUGUCUACGAGCCCUGUUUCGUGCUGCCUUCACACCCCCGCCUCAACUCUCCUGUCUCUGACAGCAGCAGCCAGCCUGUAUAAACCAGGGUCAGUAAGUUCAGUGCUAUUCAGCCCCCUAGGAGCUCCAGCCCAGAGCCACAAAAGAAGUUUCUAAGGCGUCACGCACGGGGGUGAAACUUCUUCUCUUCCCUGCCAGCUGCAAAGAGCAAUUAAUCCUGGUGGAGGCUGAGCGCCAGAUCCCCUGAACCCUCGUCAUGGCUUCAGGUUGGGUCGCAGCUGCGUUAACAGCCUCGGUGCUAAGUGCCCUGGGCAGAGCGGAGAUCCAGCAGCCCUUCUCCGCAGAGGCGUUGGAGGGAGAGAAAUUGAACCUCUCUUGCAGUCACCCUAAAGUGACCACCGAGAAGAUAACACGGUACCGCCACUUCCCCAGCCAGGCACCGCGGCUUUUGGCAGGUGGAUUCAGGGGAGAGACCGCCAGCACCGAAGCGGACGGCACUUUAUACAUCGCUCAGGACAAAGCUUCCAGUGUCUUUGAGUUCCGCAGGGUGCGGCUGGCAGACGCAGCGGUGUAUUACUGUGCUCUGAGCGACACAGCGUGACAGCCAGGGGAGGCCCCCGCGCAAUAUCUCACACCAGCCCCGAGCAGGGGGGCAGCAGCGUCUCUUGGCUGGGCGCGCUAAGGAGAGAGAGUUUCUUCCAUCUCGUGAAGCAAGAAAAAGGAUCCGCUCCUUUCAGAGUCUAAAAAGCUGGGAGAGGAAUAACACUUCUUUCUGGCCUGGUGAACAAGGAGAAACACCAGCUGUCUGCGAUUUCUGUCUUUCAGACGCAGGCAACUUUCGGUCUGCAGUGGUUGUUGUUUUUAAA